This 793-nucleotide long non-coding RNA is filed under the name Nicotiana benthamiana. Its description in RNAcentral is "long non-coding RNA (NBEN_LNC042022)". The record is from RNAcentral. Lineage: Eukaryota; Viridiplantae; Streptophyta; Magnoliopsida; Solanales; Solanaceae.
CUACACUAUUCUAUAAUUUUCCAAAAGUUACACUUUAAUUUUAACACCCCCUCCCAUCCCACACCCUCGCCCAAGCACCCCAUGCUUAGGGGGAGUAUUAAUAAUCAAGAAUAUGUUGGUAGUCACUCUUCUUAGCGAUAAGAAUGGACAUUGGGCCUAACUCAAUCCUAAAAGCAAGUGAGGAUUGCCCAAGCAAUAUAAGGAGACUAAGGACCUCAAAUCUCUCCGAUGUGGGACAACUCAACACCCCCUAUGCCCAGAUCUCUGGAGCGUGGACAACAUAAAUGGGGGCCCAACAUCGGUAACAAUAAUUGGGCUCAGAUCUCUGGAGCGUGGACAACAUAAAUUGGGGCCCAACAUCGGUAACAAUAAUUGGGAUGGGCGUGGCUCUGAUACCAUGAAAAGAAUGGACCUUGGGCCUAACUCAACCCCAAAAGCUAGCUUAUGAGAUAAGGAUUGCCCAAGCCAUACAAGGAGACCAAGGACCUCAAAUCCCUCCGAUGUGGGACAACUCAACACUUUGGCUUAGUAUUUUUUUAAAAUAAAAAAUACGCAAAUAUUUGCCUAUAGGAGGCAAGAAUUUAAAACAAAAGACCAGAUCUCAAUAAAUAUGAUAUAUGGAUAUCAAAGUGAAACCAGAGUUACAUUUUUGACUGAAGAGAAAAACAUAGCAUUUCUACUUCUCCUUAUUGCCCAUAUCACUAUAUAUAUCAAUAUAUGUUACCAUUAGUUAAUUAAAAUUAAGUUGAUAUUUUGCCCUCUGAUCAGGAGAAAAGAGUCCAAAGUGUUUUUC